Molecule: long non-coding RNA, 2015 nt
Organism: Lolium rigidum
Lineage: Eukaryota; Viridiplantae; Streptophyta; Magnoliopsida; Poales; Poaceae
Exons: 2
Source: RefSeq, a predicted model, not a curated record
UCGAUGCUCCUUGCAUUCAUCGAGUAGAAACUGUUCUGUUCAACUGAGCAGUCGCCACCUCCCCUCCAAGUUAAAAAUCUACCCUCAUCCUCAACAUCGACCACGCCCACCCGCUCGCUCGCGUCGUCAUCUCUAGCAGGGGGUUCUAAUCUGAUUGUACAAGGUGACCUCUCAAGAUUUCUCCGAUUUGAUUGGGUUUUGAUUGGAUACUGUUGGUCGCUGAAGCUAGGAGGAAGCGUAUCAUCACAUGUAUGGCCGAAGGACGCUCUGCUUUCAUUUGGUACAGAAGUGCUCAUCUCUCACUCAUAAUUUUUAUUUACAUUGCAUAAGCACAUGCGUCUUCAUUUUUUUCUACUUUUGCUGGUCGGAUGUAUUUGUUACCCUCGAAUCCCCCUAAAUUAAUUAGUUACAUUGGAAUUUGCUUCCCUCAAUCUUCCGUGAAAUACAUUCAUCGCCUGGAAUCCGCGGGAGCCGGUUCUCCAGGAGGUGAGGGGCACUUUGACGGCAAGAACAUCAUGGACAACAGGCCGGGACAUUGCAGUCACGAUGACUGCGGUGGCCAACCAUCCCUGGAGGCAGUGCCUGUUUCGAUUUAUGCUCCUCUCUCCCCAAUUUGCUUUCACGUGCUCCAACUAUUCAAUACCAACAAUUUCAUUCCAUGUCACGUCAGUUUUGUACAAAUUACCAUGGAACCUUUGCUACUAUCUGGACUUCUGCAGACAACCAAGAAAUUGCCCCCCUGAUCAGGUCAUCUGAAUGCAGCACCAUGUGAAUUACUUCAUAUGGAUAAUUGUUCACCCACGAGCGAACACCAAAUUCUACUUCUAUGAACAGGAGAGGUCUCGAGUGCUUCUUGGCGGUAUGCCUUUCUCUGUUUUUUUUUUUCAUUAGUUCUGCCAAACAAUUAUGUACAUAACCCUUCUGGCGUUUCAGGAAACAUGGUUACCAUCGUACAGUGCUAAUCUACUGGUACAACUUCAUUAUGUAAAGUUAUUUUUUGUUUGGAGAGUUGUCAACUGUAUGGUCUGAAUGUUUUAAUGUAAAAAUAAUGAGUGUUUUACAUGGUUAUCUGUGUGCAGUUUGGCAAUUGGCAUAUGCAGGGAAGUCCUUUUUUUCUGUCCAGAAUCAUUCCAUGUUAUUUUGCAAUUAAGAAAUGAAAAUUCAUAUAGUCUCAUAAUCUCUAACUUACAGAUUUCUUAACAUUUUCCUUUGCAAUCUAGAAUCCUAAUUAUGGCUCUUAAUAUAACAGUGUGAUCAGAUUGAUUAAUGUAAGGGCAAUACUUCUCUCCACCAUUUCUAUUCUUGAUUACUUAGUUUUGAUUUGUCUGCUUUUCUUCAAGUUGAACUGCAUGUAGUCUGCAUGUAAGCAUACACUUGGUUAUGCCCUGAUAUGUGUCUACUCACUAGCCUGUUGGUUUCAUCUCCUUAGAUCAUGCAAAUUCUGAAAGCUUCAUUUCUGAAGGCAGGGAUACGUUUUAGAGGAAAUCCAAUGCUGAGAGGAAAAGUUUGAGGAUUUUUUAUCUGAGGUAUCACUGCUGGGAAAAUCAGAUGUUGCAUAUGUCAACACAGGAUCCUUUGUUUUCACUUUUCGAGUUUACUCUUACUUUUAGUUUCAAGCGGCAGGAUGUGUUUCCAAGAAGUAUUAAGCACCAUGGUGUUACCAUAAUCUUAUAGUAGCUAACCCCAUGGUUAUUGUUCCCAAAAGUAUUAGCCUGUUUGUUAUUGUUUUUUCAGAUAUUGUAUCUCUGAAGUGCUAGCCCCAUGGUGUUACCAUAAUCUUAUAUCAGCUAACUGCAUUUAAAUACAUAUAUACCAAGUUGUAUCUUCCCUUGAUUCUGAUUUCCACAACUCAGUUGGCCCUUUUGAAGUUGGCCUAAGCUACCGGAGUAACAUUUAUGUACUAUAAUUGUUUCAAUGCUCACCCAGUACCAUUAUAUUAGUGCUAAGUCCAAGUCUGUACCAUCUAUCCAUGUAGUCGUUCAACAUUUCAAAUGCAAUUAUCAACAUUUUACUUA